This 1274-nucleotide long non-coding RNA is filed under the name Callithrix jacchus (white-tufted-ear marmoset). RNAcentral describes it as "lncRNA (ENSCJAG00000070518.1)". The record is from RNAcentral. Lineage: Eukaryota; Metazoa; Chordata; Mammalia; Primates; Cebidae.
UUUUAUAAAAUGUUCCUACAACUGGUAACCCAGGUCACAGGCUUUAUCAGUCUGUGACAACAAAAUUAACUCAUACUUCCAUUUCAAACCCAAACUCAUAUGGCACAAGUUCAAAUCAGCAUAACUACUGGAAACUGGCCCUAUUUAAAUUGUUUCCCAAACAAUUUCUAAGGUCCCAGAGUAAUAAAUAUUCAGGACUGGUCACCAUCUUCUACACCUGCUUUUUUGUUUUUUCUCUGGACAGGAAUGCUGAUGGACACCACUCUCCUCCCCUGGUGACAACUAUUGAUGCAUCCCUACUGUGGCAAGCCUCAUCAGACAACCUUGUUCUUGUCAAAUAAAGAGUCAAGAAGAGAACAGAAUGAUACUUUGAAGAUGAUAGUUUUAUCCUGUUCCUGUUAAUAAGUCGAAUAUGUGCCUUGUAUACAUUUACAACCUAUACAAUGUCUACAGAGCGGUUCAGCUGUCUAGGUAAGUGAUGCUGGUGUCAGGCCCCCUGUUGUUCCCAUGAUUUCACCUCAGAGAUGACUGUUGAGUGUAUUUCUUUGCUACUUAUUUUUUUGCAUGUAAAUACAUUUUAAAUGUAAUUGAAUUUAUUCUGUGUAUAUCACUUUUAUCUUUUUCUCUCCCCACAAUAUCAUUUCAUGGUCAUUUUAGCAGGUCAGUUGGUAUUUUCCUUUUUUUUCAGAUUUGAUAAACCAAGUUUAUUUUUUAUUUCAACAGAUUUUUGGGGAAUAGGUAGUGUUUGGUUACACGAGUAAGUUCUUUAGUGGUGAUUUCUGAGAUUUUGAUGCAACCGUUACCCAAGCUGCAUACCCUUGAGUUGGUAUUUGAUAUUUUCUAAAGUAUGAUUUUUAAUGAUUUUUUUAUAUACUUCAUCAUAUGACUACUUCAUAUGUUUAAUCAUUCCCCUUGAUAAGUGGCAACAUUUUUCUGUAUGAAAGAAACAAACCAAAAAAACCAGAGAAGAAAAGUACCUCCCUGAAAUGCACUGGUAUUUUGAUACAGCAAAAUUUGACAACAAAAACGAAAAAUACCACCAGCUAUAUGAAAAACAAACAACAAACCUUUGAUUCUUAUCAUCCUUAACAAUACUCAGCUUUGUAAAUGUCUGUUAAAUGAUACACAAAUCCGCGUAUGCAGAUACUGAUAUUUUUCACUGCGCCCAGAAAUUCUGAUUAUUGUAAUGUCUGCUUCUAAAAAUGGGUACAAUAUAAUAGUGUUUCAUAUUUAAGAUAAAUAGUAUAGCUUAGAAGUGGCAGCCUGUUUUGAGG